Non-coding RNA from Maylandia zebra (zebra mbuna), 229 nucleotides. The record is from RefSeq and is a predicted model, not a curated record. Lineage: Eukaryota; Metazoa; Chordata; Actinopteri; Cichliformes; Cichlidae.
CUUCUUUGAAACCACUCAUGAUAGAAGGGCUUCAUAUUUGCAGCAGCACUACUACAGUUGGCAGGAAUGUUGCUGCAGGAAAACAUCCCUGGAGAUCACCAUCAUUGUCAGACUGACUGUGCCUCCUCUGUGCAGUGUCAAGAUCCUCCCUAAAUGAGUGUUCCUCAGCUAUCCUGCUUCUGUGCUGCUUGCCACACAUCAAACACUGGCCGGAUGACAGGGAGGAUCC